GGGCGUGUGGCUCAGUUGGUAGAGCGUUCGCUUAGCAUACUCGCCUGUAUGCGAAAGGUCCUGGGUUCGAUUCCCAGCUCGUCCA
Apodospora peruviana is the source of this 85-nucleotide non-coding RNA. Lineage: Eukaryota; Fungi; Ascomycota; Sordariomycetes; Sordariales; Lasiosphaeriaceae. The record is from the annotation of a GenBank genome assembly.